GCCCCCGUAGCUCAGGUGGAUAGAGCGCUGGCCUCCGGAGCCAGGUGCGCAGGUUCGAGUCCUGCCGGGGGUA
Molecule: transfer RNA, 73 nt
Filed under: Chloroflexota bacterium
Lineage: Bacteria; Bacillati; Chloroflexota
Also listed under: 2 other names
Description: Chloroflexi bacterium tRNA-Arg
Rfam family: tRNA
About the family: Transfer RNA (tRNA) molecules are approximately 80 nucleotides in length. Their secondary structure includes four short double-helical elements and three loops (D, anti-codon, and T loops).
Source: RNAcentral